This 1651-nucleotide long non-coding RNA is filed under the name Anolis carolinensis (green anole). RNAcentral describes it as "lncRNA (ENSACAG00000039314.1)". The record is from RNAcentral. Lineage: Eukaryota; Metazoa; Chordata; Lepidosauria; Squamata; Anolidae.
AUGCCAGGUGAUAUUUUAGGUUAUUCUUCUUUUAAUGCCCUUAUCCUUCCUUAUUCUCUUUCACCUUUGCAUUUCUUUAAACCUACUCCUCCAGGUUACUUAAUCAUCUCUUCUAUCCCUCGCCAUCAAUCACUCAUCCACCGUUUCUCCUCACAUGCCUGCUGCACUCUCACCGCUCACCUCUCAUUCACUGUUUCCUCACUUCUUGCCUCUUGUCCAUUGCUCCCUUGCCGUCAACCACUCGACCGCCACUUCUCCACUCUCGUUCGCUGCUCCCUCGCCGCUUGUCACUCGUCCACUGCUCCCUCGCUGCUCCCCUCUCGAUCGCUACUCUGUUGCCAUCUGGUAAUUGUAUGUCGCUUCUUCUCUCUCAUCCGCUCCUCCCUCGCCACACAUCUCUCAUCCUCCGUACCUUCGCCACUCGCCCUUGUCCAUUGGUCUCUCCCCACUCACCCCUCGUCCAUCGCUUUCUGUAUGUCUCUCCCUCAUCUGCUGUUUGACCUUUCCCCCUCUGCUUCUUAUUUGUCAUUUCUCCCCUCCACUCUUUGCUCAAGAUCCUUAACUCACUGGCACCUUCUGUCCCACUGUCUGGUGGUCCUCUUUCUUUCCGUCGCCGCUUUAUCUAUCUCCAAGUUUGGUAUAGCUCUAUUGUCGGAGGCAACCCCCAACUGUCGUUUGGCUCCGUUUUCUAUAUUUAUUGCUCUAUGGGCCAGCUCUCUCUUGCCCUCUUUCUCACUUCUUCCUGUCUCUAUCGUCUUGGCUUCCUCAUCCCACUCUUCCGUUUCCUGCCUUCUUCCACUUUGUUUAAAGAAGGAGGGCUGUAGACUACACAAAUCUUCCUCAAGUCCCUUCAAUAUGACACCUAUCUGCUUCCUAGCAUUCUGCCUGUUGUCAGGCAUAGUGCCAUCUUACUGAGGGUGAUGGAAGGUUGACAUCAGACAGAGCACCGAGGAUAAGGUCCGUGACUGGAGACAAGGCAAAACAUGAAGCAUGAAGCAGGGUCCGUGGUAAUACCGCAAGACAGGGCAAGGCUUGAAGCUUGAUCCGGGAAGCAAGGAACUGGGGAUUACGAAGUCCACACACGAUCUCUCUCCUGAAGGUGAUCAAUUGACUCCGCAAAGAAUCCCUCGUGCCAAACACCUAUAUUGGGUCUCGUUUUCCCGCCAACAGAACUCUUUCCCUAGAGAACGAGAAGCGAAACCCAACUCUGUCCAGAUGUAUGACUCCUUAGAAUUUCCCAAGGGAAGCAGGCCUAAUCAGCUUGAUAUUUGGCAGCGAUCCGUAAACUCCUCCGUUGGGCUUCUCUGACUCCCCUUUCUCUAGAAUAAGAUUCCUUCCUGUGAAACGGAGGGGAGUUCUGCCCAAGGCCUGUUUGGCUGAAUUCUUGAGGGCAAACAUCAACAUCCUGCAGGUAAAGGGACUCCGGCUCUUGCUGAACCGGCGAAAACCCCAUGUUUUCCUCUUCGUCUGCCACAAUAGUACUAGGAACAGGACUACAAGGCCCAUGAGUCAUCACACCACAUAAUAUUUGGGUAAUAAUAAUGGGUAAAAUCUAAUCUUUCAUGAAGAUAGCUUCUGCCUAGCUUUUGUAUUUUUAUACAUUCAAAACUUUUACCAAGAAAAAAUGUUUGAAUAAUAUAAACAAUGAUAC